RNAcentral lists this transfer RNA (74 nucleotides) under Rhodocyclaceae bacterium. RNAcentral's name for it is "tRNA-OTHER". It matches the Rfam family "tRNA". From Rfam's summary of the family: Transfer RNA (tRNA) molecules are approximately 80 nucleotides in length. Lineage: Bacteria; Pseudomonadati; Pseudomonadota; Betaproteobacteria; Rhodocyclales; Rhodocyclaceae. The record is from RNAcentral.
UCCGGGGUAGCUCAGCGGCAGAGCGCUCGGCUUCUACCGAGAGGGCGCUGGUUCGAAUCCAGCCCCCGGACCCA